Molecule: ribosomal RNA, 253 nt
Filed under: uncultured bacterium
Lineage: Bacteria
Description: partial 16S ribosomal RNA
Rfam family: Bacterial small subunit ribosomal RNA
Source: RNAcentral
GACGUAGGGCGCUAGCGUUGUCCGGAAUCAUUGGGCGUAAAGCGCGCGUAGGCGGCCCGGUGAGUCCGCUGUGAAAGUCAAAGGCUCAACCUUUGAAUGUCAGCGGAUACUGCCGGGCUAGAGUCCGGAAGAGGAGAGUGGAACUCCUGGUGUAGCGGUGGAAUGCGCAGAUAUCAGGAAGAACACCAGCGGCGAAGGCAGCUCGCUGGGACGGAACUGACGCUAAGGCGCGAAAGCGUGGGGAGCGAACAAG